UCUAUAAAUGUUAAAAGGGAAACUAACUAAAACAGGUACACAUUUAACAGAAAAUAAAGCACAACCAACAUUGCAAGAGAACAAAUAGAAAUCCUCACCAACAUUACAUUAGCAUCUCCAGCCAUUUCUAAUCACAUAAUUUCGAAAUAUAAAUAUCAAAUUACAUUUUUUGUUUCUUUUGAAAAAUUAGAUAACAAGCUAUUACAACUACUGGAAUCACUAAAAUGCAGGUGGUACCCUAGAGAUAUUUAUUUUCGUAUAUCGAACACAAUAAGACGGGAACUACACUGUUGAAAAUCCACAAGCAAAGUUCUCAGAGAAAAUUACUAAGGCACUCGACAAUGAAGCUGAACACUUUUAGAUUCUCUAUGUGAGUUUUAAAUAAAGUUGUCCUCGCCUUUACAUAAUCAUUUAUCACAACCACAUAUUCCUAAUUUAUCACCAUAAAUCAAUCAUUAAAUGCAUUACUUAACGAGCCAAAAAUCAACUCAAAGUAGUUUUGUGCCUUCAAAUUAGAGUGAGUUACAAUGAUGAUUUAGCUAUAAAAAUUAAAAAUUAACAAUAAAAUAAUGAUAAUACUGAUAAUGAUAAAAAUUAUACUAGUAGUAAUAAAACAGGAACAAUAUAUGACAAAAAUGAAGGACAAGAAACCUUGCAAAAGACACAGAACUAAGAGAUUUGCUGAUUAUGGUGGAAAAUCAAACUAGGAUGGUCCAAGAACCAACAAGAAAAUCCCAUAUGCUUAAGCAAAGUGCUUCAGUAUAACCACGUAUAAUAAACAAACUACUAAGUAAUGGACUGCUACACAGGAAAGUCCAAAUGUAGAUAAAGAUAAACUUAAAAUUAUCAAAUUAUAAAAUUAAAGAACAUGGGUUAAGAACUGAUACAUAUCUGUACUUAAAAUUAUAAGAAAAUACAAAAGUAUGGAGAGAAGGUGAAGAGAGAGAAUUUGCAGGUAAACAAUAGACAGUGGCCUAUUAUCUGCCUAACCCAAGAUGUUGGAUCUAAUCCCUCCUUAUUAGGGACAAUGAAAAUCUUCCAAUUUCAUUGGCCAAUUAAUUUGGAAUAAUACUGCUGAUAAUAGCAUUAAGUGGAGGGUUUCUCAAUCUUCAAUUUGGAAGACUAUGAAAGGAGCCUUGGAGUUAUACCAGCAUUCCAACUAAAAUUGUCUAAAGAGAGAGUUCGGAGCAAGAGUGUCCUUCAUGGAUCCUUCAUGAUAUAUGAGAGUAUCCAAUUGGAUACAAGGUCCAGGCUAGAGAUUAACUCUUGAGUGGUAUUUACUUGUACUUGUUUGUUCUCUCUUCCAGUGAAGUUGGAUAGUCUGGACGUAGGCAUAAUUACUCUGAACCACAUAAAUAUUGGUAUGCCUUUUCAUCUCUGACUACUUUUUUAAAUUAUUUCCACAAUUUGUAUUUGUCGUGAUUAGGGGAUUCAUGUCACCUAUAGAUGAUGUCAAGAACAGCUAUGACAGAUACAAAUGAAAAUUUUCAAUUGAACAAAACAAGUAACAAGUAAACAA
Pyrus x bretschneideri (Chinese white pear) is the source of this 1519-nucleotide long non-coding RNA. RefSeq lists it as uncharacterized. Lineage: Eukaryota; Viridiplantae; Streptophyta; Magnoliopsida; Rosales; Rosaceae. The transcript has 2 exons. The record is from RefSeq and is a predicted model, not a curated record.